RNAcentral lists this ribosomal RNA (513 nucleotides) under uncultured Arthrobacter sp. RNAcentral describes it as "bacterial SSU rRNA". It matches the Rfam family "Bacterial small subunit ribosomal RNA", at positions 338 to 861 of the family's 1533-position model. The record is from RNAcentral. Lineage: Bacteria; Bacillati; Actinomycetota; Actinomycetes; Micrococcales; Micrococcaceae.
CCUACGGGAGGCAGCAGUGGGGAAUAUUGCACAAUGGGCGCAAGCCUGAUGCAGCGACGCCGCGUGAGGGAUGACGGCCUUCGGGUUGUAAACCUCUUUCAGUAGGGAAGAAGCGAAAGUGACGGUACCUGCAGAAGAAGCGCCGGCUAACUACGUGCCAGCAGCCGCGGUAAUACGUAGGGCGCAAGCGUUAUCCGGAAUUAUUGGGCGUAAAGAGCUCGUAGGCGGUUUGUCGCGUCUGCCGUGAAAGUCCGGGGCUCAACUCCGGAUCUGCGGUGGGUACGGGCAGACUAGAGUGAUGUAGGGGAGACUGGAAUUCCUGGUGUAGCGGUGAAAUGCGCAGAUAUCAGGAGGAACACCGAUGGCGAAGGCAGGUCUCUGGGCAUUAACUGACGCUGAGGAGCGAAAGCAUGGGGAGCGAACAGGAUUAGAUACCCUGGUAGUCCAUGCCGUAAACGUUGGGCACUGAGGUGUGGGGGACAUUNCAUUCUUCCGCGGGGUAGCUAACGCAUU